RNAcentral lists this ribosomal RNA (504 nucleotides) under uncultured bacterium. RNAcentral's name for it is "partial 16S ribosomal RNA". It matches the Rfam family "Bacterial small subunit ribosomal RNA", at positions 30 to 523 of the family's 1533-position model. The record is from RNAcentral.
AUUGAACGCUGGCGGCAGGCCUAACACAUGCAAGUCGAACGGUAGCACAGAGCGCUUGCUCUCGGGUGACGAGUGGCGGACGGGUGAGUAACGUCUGGGAAACUGCCCGAUGGAGGGGGAUAACUACUGGAAACGGUAGCUAAUACCGCAUAACGUCGCAAGACCAAAGUGGGGGACCUCCGGGCCUCACACAAUCGGCUGUGCCCAGAUGGGAUUAGCUAGUAGGUGGGGUAAUGGCUCACCUAGGCGACGAUCCCUAGCUGGUCUGAGAGGAUGACCAGCCACACUGGAACUGAGACACGGUCCAGACUCCUACGGGAGGCAGCAGUGGGGAAUAUUGCACAAUGGGCGCAAGCCUGAUGCAGCCAUGCCGCGUGUAUGAAGAAGGCCUUCGGGUUGUAAAGUACUUUCAGCGGGGAGGAAGGCGGUGAAGUUAAUAGCUUCACCGAUUGACGUUACCCGCAGAAGAAGCACCGGCUAACUCCGUGCCAGCAGCCGCAGUAA